ACACAAUGAGUAAAACAGACCAACAAAGGAAGAGAGGAUGUAAAAAUGGACUAGCAGAGCCCAAACAGAGUCCUUACCAAAAAUGUCCCCGGAGACACUUGCCAUAUCUGGAGCAUGCCUACAGGAACUGUACCAAAUUUGUCUGUGUUUAUUUUAGAACAUCAACUACUCACUCUCUCAAAAUAAACGAGUAGCAGGGUUUCUUGACUAUAGAAGUAUAAAGUAAUGAGUGUGUCUUUCUGGCCUGCAAGUGACAUCUUGGAGUAUUAUUUUACUUGUCUUGCUUACCUUACUCUAAAUGCCAGAAGGAACCUUAGUCAUUACAAGGUCUGCUCUGAGGACCAGGAAGCAAACACAUUUGCCUGGGAAUCCCACAGCUGCUAUGACAGUCGACUCUCCCACCAGGCCUACAUUUCUGCCCACUUUGUUCCAUCUCCCGCCAUCUUAGUUCAUAGGUUCCAGCUAAUGAAUAUAUUUCAGCUGUGGGUGCCAGUCUUUUCUGGCCAGUGCUGUAUUGGACACACAGAUGAAUGAGGGGUGAAAUUCAAGCACACCACUUUAGGGCCAUACAGAAUAUAUGUUUAGGCUAGGCUUUCCCUGAUAU
RNAcentral lists this long non-coding RNA (604 nucleotides) under Rattus norvegicus (Norway rat). Its description in RNAcentral is "long non-coding RNA NONRATT000952". The record is from RNAcentral. Lineage: Eukaryota; Metazoa; Chordata; Mammalia; Rodentia; Muridae.